This 497-nucleotide ribosomal RNA is filed under the name uncultured bacterium. Its description in RNAcentral is "partial 16S ribosomal RNA". It matches the Rfam family "Bacterial small subunit ribosomal RNA", at positions 28 to 507 of the family's 1533-position model. The record is from RNAcentral.
GAUGAACGCUGGCGGCGUGCCUAAUACAUGCAAGUCGAGCGAACAGAUAAGGAGCUUGCUCCGUUGACGUUAGCGGCGGACGGGUGAGUAACACGUGGGUAACCUACCUAUAAGACUGGAAUAACUCCGGGAAACCGGGGCUAAUGCCGGAUAACAUUUAGAACCGCAUGGUUCUAAAGUGAAAGAUGGUUUUGCUAUCACUUAUAGAUGGACCCGCGCCGUAUUAGCUAGUUGGUAAGGUAACGGCUUACCAAGGCAACGAUACGUAGCCGACCUGAGAGGGUGAUCGGCCACACUGGAACUGAGACACGGUCCAGACUCCUACGGGAGGCAGCAGUAGGGAAUCUUCCGCAAUGGGCGAAAGCCUGACGGAGCAACGCCGCGUGAGUGAUGAAGGUCUUCGGAUCGUAAAACUCUGUUAUUAGGGAAGAACAAAUGUGUAAGUAACUGUGCACGUCUUGACGGUACCUAAUCAGAAAGCCACGGCUAACUACGUG